UACGUAGGUGGCGAGCGUUGUCCGGAAUUACUGGGUGUAAAGGGCGUGUAGGCGGGUCUGCAAGUCGGAUGUGAAAUUCCCGGGCUCAACCCGGGCGCUGCAACCGAAACUGUGGAUCUUGAGUACCGGAGAGGAAAGUGGAAUUCCCAGUGUAGCGGUAAAAUGCGUAGAGAUUGGGAGGAACACCAGUGGCGAAGGCGACUUUCUGGACGGUAACUGACGCUGAGGCGCGAAAGCGUGGGGAGCAAACAGGAUUAGAUACCCUGGUAGUCCACGCCGUAAACGAUGGAUACUAGGUGUAGGGGGUAUCGACCCCCCCUGUGCCGGAGCUAACACAAUAAGUAUCCCACCUGGGGAGUACGGCCGCAAGGUUGAA
This 376-nucleotide ribosomal RNA is filed under the name uncultured bacterium. RNAcentral describes it as "bacterial SSU rRNA". It matches the Rfam family "Bacterial small subunit ribosomal RNA", at positions 524 to 898 of the family's 1533-position model. The record is from RNAcentral.